CAGCACCUCAAGUGGUCAGGAUGAUUAUUGGGCCUAAAGCAUCCGUAGCCGGCGCUGUAAGUUUUCGGUUAAAUCUGUACGCUCAACGUACAGGCUGCCGGGAAUACUGCAACGCUAGGGAGUGGGAGAGGUAGACGGUACUCGGUAGGAAGGGGUAAAAUCCUUUGAUCUAUUGAUGACCACCUGUGGCGAAGGCGGUCUACCAGAACACGUCCGACGGUGAGGGAUGAAAGCUGGGGGAGCAAACCGGAUUAGAGACCCGAGUAGUCC
RNAcentral lists this ribosomal RNA (270 nucleotides) under uncultured archaeon. RNAcentral's name for it is "partial 16S ribosomal RNA". It matches the Rfam family "Archaeal small subunit ribosomal RNA", at positions 477 to 747 of the family's 1478-position model. The record is from RNAcentral.